Mus musculus (house mouse) is the source of this 1581-nucleotide long non-coding RNA. RefSeq annotates it as predicted gene, 46560. NCBI's taxonomy places the organism in Eukaryota, Metazoa, Chordata, Mammalia, Rodentia, Muridae. The transcript is spliced from 2 exons. The record is from RefSeq and is a predicted model, not a curated record.
CUAUCUAUCUAAAUCAGAAAUCCCUUUACUGCCAAGAGCCUGUCAGAGAGCCCUGUUUCCUGUCAGAAGUCAUACUCUUCCCAUAGGAAAGCACUGGCCUUGCUGGAUCUUUCUCUCCACACGAUCUUGUUUGCUCUCCUGGGACAUCAGCAGCUUUCCUGUGCCUCUCUGUGGGGAGAGGCUGAGCAGCUGCUGCCUGUUUACACCUGUUUUGCUCUUUAUCAGGAAGUUCAGUCAGAGGUCCAGAUGCAGCCUGGGGCUGUGGUCACAGCUCGCCAUCCCAUCCGCAUUGCUUGGUCUGCACCUUUGCUCUCCCAGCACCGGCACUAUCCUCGUCAUCUCGGCCACGAUUAUGGAUGCGCUGUCCUCUGCCCUGGCUGGAACAGUUGCCUUCCAGAAAGGUACUACCUGGCUUGAACAACAACAAAUGUCUUUUCCUGUAACUUGUAUUGCCCCACAGAGGAAGACGAACAGCUCUCCCACACUGGAGCCAUAACUUUACCCAUGAGCCUUCACUCUCAGCCAGGGCAGACAAGAGUCCAGCGCGUCUGAGACUGUUCCUGCUCUGACCCAGAUAUCCAACCUGCUAGUGUGUGAGAAUACUCCAUGUCUCAGUCAGGAUUUCCAUUGCUGUGAAGAGACACCGUGACCACAGCAACUCUUAUGAAGGAAAAGAUUUCAUGUGGACUGGCCUGCAGACCAGAGAUUUAGUCUACUGUUGUCAUGGCAGGAAACCUAGCAGUGUGCAUGGUGCUGGAGAGGAGCUAAGAGUUCUACAUCCCGAUCAGAAGGCAGCAGGAAGGGAACUUUGAGCCACUAGACCUGAGCUUCUGAGACUUCAAAGCCUACCCCUUGGUGACAUGCUUCCCUCAACAAGCCACACCCACUCCAGUACCUAAUAGUGCCACUCCCUGUGGAUCUGUGGGGGCCGUUUUCAUUCAAACUUCCACACCCCAUAUAUUUCUUGGGUUGCGUGUCUACUUUGUCACACAACAGAUAUAGCGUUCUGGCAAGCUGUAGCAUGUGCCACCAUUUUCUCUCAGAACCACUCAAAUAGGUGACAACACCCUCUUACACAAGCCUCUGCCACCUGGAAGAGAGUUCAUCCCGCUGCAAGAGAAGGAGGACUGAGAUUGAAGGGGUGUUUACUAAUUAUUUAUUUAUUUUUACUAAUUAUCAUUUACUAAUUCUGAUUUCUAACUAAGGGUUAGUGUUUAAGGUAUAAGGUGCUGGGGUGGCUAGUUUUAAUUGUUAACUUGACACCAUAUAGAGUCACCUGGGAAGAGCUUUGAUUGAUUACCUAGAUAAAGUUGGCCCACAGGCCUGCUAUUAUUUUGAUUGUGUUAAUCGAGGUGGGAAGACCUGCCCACUGUGGGUGGUAACAUUCCCUAGGAAGGGGGAUCAUGAACUGUAUGAAAGGGGAGAAAACGAAUUGGUCCUAAGCACGCAUGAUUUACUCCAGUGUGCUCUGCUCUUGACUGUGAAUGUAAUGUUCAUUCAAGGUCCUGCUGCUGUGACUUCCCUUCUAUGCCUUACUGUACCAUGGAAUUGUGAGCUAAAAUAAAGCCUUUCUUUCUUAAA